This 482-nucleotide ribosomal RNA is filed under the name uncultured bacterium. RNAcentral describes it as "bacterial SSU rRNA". It matches the Rfam family "Bacterial small subunit ribosomal RNA", at positions 28 to 526 of the family's 1533-position model. The record is from RNAcentral.
GACGAACGCUGGCGGCGUGCCUAACACAUGCAAGUCGAGCGAUGAUGUUCCUUCGGGAACUGAUUAGCGGCGGACGGGUGAGUAACACGUGGGCAACCUGCCUUGUAGAGGGGAAUAGCCUUCCGAAAGGAAGAUUAAUACCGCAUAAUAUUACGACUUCACAUGAAGAUGUAAUCAAAGGAGUAAUCCGCUACAAGAUGGGCCCGCGUCGCAUUAGCUAGUUGGUGAGGUAAUGGCUCACCAAGGCGACGAUGCGUAGCCGACCUGAGAGGGUGAUCGGCCACAUUGGAACUGAGACACGGUCCAGACUCCUACGGGAGGCAGCAGUGGGGAAUAUUGCACAAUGGGGGAAACCCUGAUGCAGCAACGCCGCGUGAGUGAUGACGGCCUUCGGGCUGUAAAGCUCUAUCAGCAGGGAAGAAUAAUGACGGUACCUGACUAAGAAGCCCCGGCUAACUACGUGCCAGCCGCCGCAGUAAGAC